GGGGCGUAGCUUAAUAGGUAGAGCAGUGGGUUUUUAACCCAAAGGUUGCAGGUUCGAUGCCUGUC
This 65-nucleotide transfer RNA is filed under the name uncultured Tubulinea. It matches the Rfam family "tRNA", at positions 7 to 64 of the family's 71-position model. From Rfam's summary of the family: Transfer RNA (tRNA) molecules are approximately 80 nucleotides in length. Their secondary structure includes four short double-helical elements and three loops (D, anti-codon, and T loops). Further hydrogen bonds mediate the characteristic L-shaped molecular structure. tRNAs have two regions of fundamental functional importance: the anti-codon, which is responsible for specific mRNA codon recognition, and the 3' end, to which the tRNAs corresponding amino acid is attached (by aminoacyl-tRNA synthetases). tRNAs cope with the degeneracy of the genetic code in two manners: having more than one tRNA (with a specific anti-codon) for a particular amino acid; and 'wobble' base-pairing, i.e. permitting non-standard base-pairing at the 3rd anti-codon position. Lineage: Eukaryota; Tubulinea. The record is from RNAcentral.